AAUGAAUUUAAAACUUGAAAGUACCAAGCGAAAAUUCCUAGUUUGGGCCUGGUAUAUAUAGUAUCAGCGAUUCAGUGGGCAAACCAUAGUAUCCUUGAAAAAGAUCCAUUAUUGUGUAGUCCCGCUGGACUCUUCUCUGUAUGGUCCUUAUCAAGCUCUUUCCUCUUCUAAUCCAUAGCUCCAAGCCUCAUUCACAGAGAGGCUUUGUUGAGGCCCAUGCUGAAGAUGGUUUACUAGAAAUAUUUGGCCUAAAGCAAGGGUGACAUGCAUCUUUUGUUAUGUUUAAACUCAUCUCUGCCAAACACAUUGCUCAGGUGCAGUAUCAAACUUGAAAGUCUUAUAUUGUUUAUGCUAUCGUGUAAAGUUCUAACUGCUCAAGUGCUAAUAUGCAGCCUUGUGUAAACUUGAAAUUCUUAUUCAAAGUUUGUGGAAAUUAAGCGGGUCCCUUUUCAGUCAGCUAUGAUCAGUGGAGAGUGAUAUUGGUGCCUUUGUUCCAUUUAGCAAACGUUGCAGCAUGAAUAUUUUGCAGCAGAAGAUGCAGAUGAAUAGCAACUUGGAUAACUUAAUUGGAGUGGUUCCUUUAUGUCAUUGUGAUGCAGAUGAUAAUUAUAGCUUGUAACAAACAUUGUUUUUAAGGAUGAGAUUUGAAUAAUAAGAGCCUGUUUGGGUAAGCAAUUUUCACAACUCAAUUCUCAGUUUUCAUAACUCAUAACUCAAAAAUGGUGGGACCCAUAGCAAAAAGGUUGU
Molecule: long non-coding RNA, 747 nt
Organism: Quercus lobata
Lineage: Eukaryota; Viridiplantae; Streptophyta; Magnoliopsida; Fagales; Fagaceae
Exons: 3
Source: RefSeq, a predicted model, not a curated record